AGAUCGGUGUUCAAAUUUCAACCUUAAAAUAGUUUUAAGUACUUCAUCAGAUGGGAAAGAUGACAACUGGAAUACAUCCAAAAUGAGGGGAAAAAAAUACCCUGAAGUGGCAGCUGACAAUGGGACACCUUUCAAGGUUUCCACUUUUUACCCAAAUUUUCUGCAGUCUUCAGCCACAGAUUAAACAAAUCUAAUGUGUGAAGCAAGCUAAAACAAGAUGUUCACUGGCAGUCUCCCAAGUCAUUAAACGCCUACCACAAGAUUCUUCUCAUACUCUCAGGAUCAGACUGCAACUGGAUAAAAAAAGUCAGUUUGUAAUCUA
Molecule: long non-coding RNA, 322 nt
Organism: Passer domesticus (house sparrow)
Lineage: Eukaryota; Metazoa; Chordata; Aves; Passeriformes; Passeridae
Exons: 2
Source: RefSeq, a predicted model, not a curated record